This 255-nucleotide ribosomal RNA is filed under the name uncultured bacterium. Its description in RNAcentral is "partial 16S ribosomal RNA". It matches the Rfam family "Bacterial small subunit ribosomal RNA", at positions 556 to 793 of the family's 1533-position model. The record is from RNAcentral.
UUACGUGGGACGUAAAGCGCAUGCAGGUGGUUUGUUAAGUCAGAUGUAGAAACGGCCCGGGGCUACAACCGUACGGUAAUUGCUAUUUAGAAACGUGGACAAACUAGAGUACUGUAGAGGGGGUAGAAUUUCAGGUGUAGCGGUGAAAUGCGUAGAGAUCUGAAGGAAUACCGGUGGCGAAGGCGGCCCCCUGGACAGAUACUGACACUCAGAUGCGAAAGCGUGGGGAGCAAACAGGAUUAGAUACCCUGGUAG